GAUGAACGCUGGCGGCGUGCCUAAUACAUGCAAGUCGAGCGAACGGACGAGAAGCUUGCUUCUCUGAUGUUAGCGGCGGACGGGUGAGUAACACGUGGAUAACCUACCUAUAAGACUGGGAUAACUUCGGGAAACCGUAGCUAAUACCGGAUAAUAUUUUGAACCGCAUGGUUCAAAAGUGAAAGACGGUCUUGCUGUCACUUAUAGAUGGAUCCGCGCUGCAUUAGCUAGUUGGUAAGGUAACGGCUUACCAAGGCAACGAUGCAUAGCCGACCUGAGAGGGUGAUCGGCCACACUGGAACUGAGACACGGUCCAGACUCCUACGGGAGGCAGCAGUAGGGAAUCUUCCGCAAUGGGCGAAAGCCUGACGGAGCAACGCCGCGUGAGUGAUGAAGGUCUUCGGAUCGUAAAACUCUGUUAUUAGGGAAGAACAUAUGUGUAAGUAACUGUGCACAUCUUGACGGUACCUAAUCAGAAAGCCACGGCUAACUACGCG
RNAcentral lists this ribosomal RNA (497 nucleotides) under uncultured bacterium. RNAcentral's name for it is "partial 16S ribosomal RNA". It matches the Rfam family "Bacterial small subunit ribosomal RNA", at positions 28 to 507 of the family's 1533-position model. The record is from RNAcentral.